GAAGCAUGACUUAGUGGAUAGAAGGCCAGCCCUGGAAUCAUAGUCUCCUUCUCUGUGACCCAGAGCCAAUCACUCAUCUUGUUCCUGCCCCAGGCAGAGUAACUUUCUAAGAUGGCUACAGAAGAGAUGGUGAUCUGCAAUGAUGGAGGAAUUUUCCACAGUGCGACUUCCCUACCCCUGGAAAUUCCAGCCUCAGACUGUCACUGCCUCUGCCUAUUCCCCAAAAGUGAUGUGUGGAGAACUGAACAGUCUGACUCCCCCUUUUUCAGUCUCCUGAACACAACAAAGCUUGCAUUUGACUCCAAGGAGGUUUGCUGAUUCUUUAAAGCAGAAAAAAUAUAUACCUAAGUCUAUUUCUAGCUUUGUCCAGACACAGCAGAAGCAAUUUAUUUCCUCUGGAUUUUACUUGUCAUCAUCUAUGAAGGAAAACAAUGUAUUUGACAGUACAGUAAUUGCUCUAAGCUCUCAAGAAGGAAACGGAGAGGAAUACAUUGGAAAAUACCUUAUAACCUCCAGGAAGACAUAAAGCCAGAGAGCAGCCACUGCUAUCAGUACCCAGCAAGGCAGGAGAAGAAGUAUGAGCAAAGAGGAAAACGGCAGAAACUCUUGGCACUCAGAGUAAUUGGAAGAGCAACUAGAAAUCUCUCACUGGAGAACAUCAAAUGCUAAAGAGAAACCUAGGAUGGCUUUCUAGUCCCAGGUGGUUUCAACUUCAAGGGAAGAGAUUCAAAGUGAAUGGGGACUACUCCGUGGUGGUAAUAGCUCAUAUUUAUAUGGUACUUACAAUUUAUAAA
Molecule: long non-coding RNA, 794 nt
Organism: Sarcophilus harrisii (Tasmanian devil)
Lineage: Eukaryota; Metazoa; Chordata; Mammalia; Dasyuromorphia; Dasyuridae
Exons: 4
Source: RefSeq, a predicted model, not a curated record